This 1247-nucleotide ribosomal RNA is filed under the name Acinetobacter sp. 130M. RNAcentral's name for it is "bacterial SSU rRNA". It matches the Rfam family "Bacterial small subunit ribosomal RNA", at positions 122 to 1358 of the family's 1533-position model. Lineage: Bacteria; Pseudomonadati; Pseudomonadota; Gammaproteobacteria; Moraxellales; Moraxellaceae. The record is from RNAcentral.
GAAUCUGCCUAUUAGUGGGGGACAACAUACCUAAAGGAAUGCUAAUACCGCAUACGUCCUACGGGAGAAAGCAGGGGAUCUUCGGACCUUGCGCUAAUAGAUGAGCCUAAGUCGGAUUAGCUAGUUGGUGGGGUAAAGGCCUACCAAGGCGACGAUCUGUAUCGGGUCUGAGAGGAUGAUCCGCCACACUGGGACUGAGACACGGCCCAGACUCCUACGGGAGGCAGCAGUGGGGAAUAUUGGACAAUGGGCGGAAGCCUGAUCCAGCCAUGCCGCGUGUGUGAAGAAGGCCUUAUGGUUGUAAAGCACUUUAAGCGAGGAGGAGGCUACUUUAGUUAAUACCUAGAGAUAGUGGACGUUACUCGCAGAAUAAGCACCGGCUAACUCUGUGCCAGCAGCCGCGGUAAUACAGAGGGUGCAAGCGUUAAUCGGAUUUACUGGGCGUAAAGCGCGCGUAGGCGGCUAAUUAAGUCAUAUGUGAAAUCCCCGAGCUUAACUUGCUAAUUUGCAUUCGAUACUGGUUAGCUUAGAGUGUGGGAGAGGAUGGUAGAAUUCCAGGUGUAUCCGGUGAAAUGCGUAGAGAUCUGGAGGAAUACCGAUGGUGAAAGGCAGCCAUCUGGCCUAACACUGACGCUGAGGUGCGAAAGCAUGGGGAGCAAACAGGAUUAGAUACCCUGGUAGUCCAUGCCGUAAACGAUGUCUACUAGCCGUUGGGGCCUUUUGAGGCUUUAGUGGCGCAGCUAACGCGAUAAGUAGACCGCCUGGGGAGUACGGUCGCAAGACUAAAACUCAAAUGAAUUGACGGGGGCCCGCACAAGCGGUGGAGCAUGUGGUUUAAUUCGAUGCAACGCGAAGAACCUUACCUGGCCUUGACAUAGUAAGAACUUUCCAGAGAUGGAUUGGUGCCUUCGGGAACUUACAUACAGGUGCUGCAUGGCUGUCGUCAGCUCGUGUCGUGAGAUGUUGGGUUAAGUCCCGCAACGAGCGCAACCCUUUUCCUUAUUUGCCAGCGAGUAAUGUCGGGAACUUUAAGGAUACUGCCAGUGACAAACUGGAGGAAGGCGGGGACGACGUCAAGUCAUCAUGGCCCUUACGGCCAGGGCUACACACGUGCUACAAUGGUCGGUACAAAGGGUUGCUACCUAGCGAUAGGAUGCUAAUCUCAAAAAGCCGAUCGUAGUCCGGAUUGGAGUCUGCAACUCGACUCCAUGAAGUCGGAAUCGCUAGUAAUCGCGGAUCAGAAUGCC